UCCUACGGGAGGCUGCAGUCGAGAAUCUUCGUCAAUGCGCGAAAGCGUGAACGAGCGACGCCGCGUGAGCGAUGAAGCCCUUCGGGGUGUAAAGCUCUUUUGUUAGGGAAAAACUUUGAUGGUACCUAUCGAAUAAGAGGUUGCUAACUCUGUGCCAGCAGCAGCGGUAAUACAGAGACCUCAAGCGUUAUCCGGAUUUAUUGGGCGUAAAGCGUCUGUAGGUUGAAUAAAUAGUCAGAUGUUAAAUUCUAGGGCUCAACCUUAGAACUGCAUUUGAAACGUUUAUUCUAGAGGACAAUAGAGGCAAGUAGAACUUAUAAUGUAGCAGUAAAAUGCGUUGAUAUUAUAGGGAAUACCAAAGGCGAAGGCAUCUUGCUGGAUUGUUCCUGACACUGAGAGACGAAAGCGUGGGUAGCGAAUGGGAUUAGAUACCCCAGUAGUCCACGCCGUAAACGAUGGAUAUUAGGCAUUAGGAGUGUCGACCCUUUUAGUGCCGAAGCUAACGCGUUAAAUAUCCCGCCUGGGAAGUACGGCCGCAAGGCUAAAACUCAAAGGAAUAGACGGGGACCUGCACAAGCGGUGGAACAUGUGGUUUAAUUCGACGAUAAACGAGGAACCUUACCCAGGCUAGAAGCCAUUCGAAUUCCGAUGAAAGUUGGAAGUGCCGCAAGGAGCGAAUGGACAGGUGCUGCAUGGUUGCCGUCAGCUCGUGCCGUGAGGUGUUCGGUUAAGUCCAGCAACGAGCGCAACCCCUGUCAAAUGUUGUAUUUCUCAUUUGAUACUGCCCGAGUUAAUUGGGAGGAAGGUGGGGACGACGUCAAAUCAGCAUGGCCCUAGACGCCUGGGGCUACACACAUGUUACAAUGGAAAGUUACAAAGGGUCGCCAAACCGAAAGGUGGAGCUAAUCCCAUCAAAACUUUUCUCAGUUCGGAUUGAGGGCUGCAACUCGCCCUCAUGAAGCCGGAAUCGCUAGUAAUCGUGAAUCAGCUAUGUCACGGUGAAUACGUUCUCAGGUCUUGUACUCACCGCCCGUCACAUCAAGAGAGUCGGUAAUACCCGAAGCUCCUCUGUCUAACAGGGGGAACCACGGUAGGAUCGGCAAUAAGGAUGAAGUCGUAACAAGGCAUCCGUAGCGGAAGCUGUGGAUG
This 1149-nucleotide ribosomal RNA is filed under the name marine sediment metagenome. Its description in RNAcentral is "bacterial SSU rRNA". It matches the Rfam family "Bacterial small subunit ribosomal RNA", at positions 337 to 1520 of the family's 1533-position model. The record is from RNAcentral.